ACUCCUACGGGAGGCAGCAGUGAGGAAUUUUGCGCAAUGGGGGAAACCCUGACGCAGCAACGCCGCGUGAGUGAUGAAGGCUUUCGGGUCGUAAAGCUCUGUCAAGUGGGAAGAACCACCGUGAGGUUAAUACCCUCAUGGUUUGACGGUACCACUGAAGGAAGCACCGGCUAACUCCGUGCCAGCAGCCGCGGUAAUACGGGGGGUGCAAGCGUUAUUCGGAUUUACUGGGCGUAAAGCGCGCGUAGGCGGCCUUUUAAGUCAGAUGUGAAAGCCCGGGGCUCAACCCCGGAAGUGCAUUUGAUACUAUACGGCUUGAGUAUGGGAGAGGGAAGUGGAAUUCCUGGUGUAGAGGUGAAAUUCGUAGAUAUCAGGAGGAACACCGGUGGCGAAGGCGACUUCCUGGACCAAUACUGACGCUGAGGCGCGAAGGCGUGGGUAGCAAACAGGAUUAGAUACCCUGGUAGUCCACGCCCUAAACGAUGAAUGCUAGGUGUAGCGGGUAUUAGUCUAUUCGGUGAUGCAGCUAACGCAUUAAGUAUUCCGCCUGGGGAGUACGGUCGCAAGAUUAAAACUUAAAGGAAUUGACGG
RNAcentral lists this ribosomal RNA (591 nucleotides) under uncultured bacterium. Its description in RNAcentral is "bacterial SSU rRNA". It matches the Rfam family "Bacterial small subunit ribosomal RNA", at positions 335 to 916 of the family's 1533-position model. The record is from RNAcentral.